This 66-nucleotide transfer RNA is filed under the name Potamyia flava. Its description in RNAcentral is "tRNA-Glu". The record is from RNAcentral. Lineage: Eukaryota; Metazoa; Arthropoda; Insecta; Trichoptera; Hydropsychidae.
AUUAUAAUAGUUUAACCAAAAACAUUUCAUUUUCAUUGAAAAAAUAUUUAAUAUAAAAUUUAUAAU